RNAcentral lists this long non-coding RNA (507 nucleotides) under Papio anubis (olive baboon). Its description in RNAcentral is "lncRNA (ENSPANG00000045594.1)". The record is from RNAcentral. Lineage: Eukaryota; Metazoa; Chordata; Mammalia; Primates; Cercopithecidae.
AUGGAGGGUCCCGUGGAAAAAUUCAUCUAUGAAUCAGAUGAGGAGGCCCCACGACAGUGGCAGGUCAGGCCACCUGCUGUUGUCACAGAAAAAGCCGGCAGACUGCCUGAAGAAAAAGGUUCCAGGAAGGAGCCCCUGGAAGACAGCAAGAAAGGCUCAGCUGAGGACGCUUCCCAAUAUUUGAAGGUACCAACAAGACGUCUCCCGGCACCUGCAGAAAAGGCAAAAGAGACAAACCCUGAGCAGGCAGAAGAAAUAAAACCUAGUGAGCUCAAGGUGGAUGAGGAUGCUAAAGAGCCUGAACUGACCUGUUGUGGCCUGACCUGUUGUGGCCUUUGUAUUUCAUGGUGGAAAUCACUAAAGAUACCAACAAGUCCUCUCCCGGAACCUGAAGAAAAAGCAAUAGAGACAAACCCUGAACAGGCAGAAGAAAUAAAACCUAGUGAGCUCGAGGAGGAUGAGGAUGCUGAAGAGCCUGACUCGACCUGUUCUGGCCUUUGUACUUGA